This 637-nucleotide long non-coding RNA is filed under the name Vigna radiata. RNAcentral's name for it is "long non-coding RNA (VRAD_LNC012712)". Lineage: Eukaryota; Viridiplantae; Streptophyta; Magnoliopsida; Fabales; Fabaceae. The record is from RNAcentral.
UCUUCGUCGCUGUUGACCCCACCUGGAUUUCCUUGGUCAGAGGACAGGGAAAUGGACAAUUGUUUGAGACAGGGGAAGGAGGGAACCCAGUUGAGAAAUAGGGGCCUGGGGAGGGUGAUGCAGAGGGAUGUGAGACGGGGAAAGGAGGUGGAGAGAAAAAGGAGGGAGGAGAGAGAAAGAGGGGUGGGGUCGAGAGAAAGAGCGAGGAGGUUGGAGCAGGAGGAGGAGAUGAGUGAGAGGAUGUGUGGGGUCAGAGAGAAGUGUGGAGAGAGGGAGAGAGAGAGGGAGGAGAGGAAAGGGUGGUGGGAGAGGAAGGAGGAGAGAGAAGAGACGGUGAGAGAGGAGUGAGAGAUGAGGCGGAGGGAGAGGGAGGUUGUGGAGGAUCGGUAGAGGCGGAGCCAGCGCUUGCAGACGAGGGCGACGGAGGAGGAGGAAGAAGGAGGGAGCUUCUGGAAAAUUUCUUGCAACAACUCAUCGUAGAGGCUGUUCUCCAUCUCACCAAUCUCUUCUCUCUUUGUUUUGUUCUCUGUUUUUGGUCUCUGUUGUUGAAAAAUAAACCGAUUGUUCUGGGAAGGUCUGGUUUCUCUAGGACAGAGAGAGAAGGAAAGAUGAUUAGGUGAGAAGAAGAGAAGUGAGU